CCCUUAGAUGUCCUGGGCCGCACGCGCGUUACACUGAUGCAUUCAACGAGCUUAUAACCUUGGCCGAGAGGCCUGGGCAAUCUUGUUAACGUGCAUCGUGAUAGGGAUAGAUUAUUGAAAUUAUUAAUCUUGAACGAGGAAUUCCUAGUAAACGCAGAUCAUCAAUCUGCAUUGAUUACGUCCCUGCCCUUUGUACACACCGCCCGUCGCACCUACCGAUUGGAAGGUCCGGUGAAGCCUCGGGAUUGUGGUUCUUGCCGCUUUAUUGUGGCGUGACCGCGAGAACUUGUCUAAACCUUAUCAUCUAGAGGAAGGUGAAGUCGUAACA
Molecule: ribosomal RNA, 328 nt
Filed under: uncultured eukaryote
Lineage: Eukaryota
Description: partial 18S ribosomal RNA
Rfam family: Eukaryotic small subunit ribosomal RNA
Source: RNAcentral